RNAcentral lists this long non-coding RNA (858 nucleotides) under Olea europaea (common olive). RNAcentral's name for it is "long non-coding RNA (OEUR_LNC000085)". The record is from RNAcentral. Lineage: Eukaryota; Viridiplantae; Streptophyta; Magnoliopsida; Lamiales; Oleaceae.
AUCUUCAUUUAUACUUCAUAUUUACAUGAUGGCUAACUUCAUUAUUUGUUGUGCCAUACAAUUGGUUUGUUUCUGAAGAUGCUUUUAUCUUCAUUUACACCAACACUACUUUUCCAAAAUUGUCUGUUAUAUUGGAUUUAUUUUCAUUUGAACUUUGUCAUUUUGUCCAUGAAUUUUCUAGAAGUGUUGUGAUAGAGAUGUGGUAAUGAAAACAGUAGUUAAUCGUAUUGGAUUUGUAACAUAUGCACAUUGUAACGUAUGAAAUAUUACUUGUAACUCGUGAAUUGUUACCUGUGACUCGUAGCAUAAACUGUGGCUGUAAAUUUGAUCCAUGACUUUUAAAAAAUGACAUUUCACCUGUUAAUAUUGAUAUUUGACCCAUUUAUAUUGAUUUGUGACAUAUACAAAAUGACUGUGAUUUGUGACUCAAGCCUGUGACCCAAGCCUGUGACCAGUGAAUUGUGACUAGUAACAUAUGCAAUUUUAAUAAUGACAUGCGACUUUAAUAAAUUGUGUAUUCAAUGAAAGAUUAUUCAAUUGAAAUUUACUAUUGAUCUGAAACGUUGAAUUCAUCUUGUGACUUAAAAAUUCAAAACUUCUGAAUAGGUGUUUGUAUUCAAAAAAUAUAUGUUUGUGACCAUCUCAGUUUAAACUGUUAUUAUUUGUGACCAAGCUUGUGUUAUUUGUGACCAAGCUUGUUCCAUUGUGACAUUCUUGAUCAGGUCUGUCAUAAUUGUGAUAUUAUGUAAUUGAGUCAUUGUUAAUUUGGUAACAUACAGGGACAAUUAAGAUAAAUUUGAUCACAGAUAAUUACAAUGAAAAUAGACUUGGUUACAACUCGUCACAAUUAACAUAAAU